UAAUGGGUUCUUCAAGAGCAUGGUCUCGAACCGAAGCGCCAAGGCAAUCCGGCCUGGCUGUUUCGGGAGGUGGGACGAGGUUGAACUACUCAUUGAUCGGCGGGAUCGACUGGCCAUCGGUUCCCGUCCGUUGCAGGCCCGGAUGCAAUUUUUGAAGGAGCGACGA
RNAcentral lists this small RNA (166 nucleotides) under Rhizobium sp. N113. RNAcentral describes it as "miscellaneous other RNA". RNAcentral also lists the same sequence under 8 other names. The record is from RNAcentral. Lineage: Bacteria; Pseudomonadati; Pseudomonadota; Alphaproteobacteria; Hyphomicrobiales; Rhizobiaceae.